CACUGUUUCAAGGUGAUUUGUAAGCUACAUACGUUUCAGCUGGUUUUAAAUUUCAACACAAUGAUCAUGAUCAGAUUUGAGCUUCCAUUAGUCAAUGGUCGAAUAUGUGGGGAACUUGCAGUAUGGUAUCUGCUAAAUGCUGGCAUCUGGAGACAUCACAUAUGUUCAGUCUCCAGGUGAAACUCCAGCCCGCUGGCGCGAGUAAUUAUGUUGCGCCACAGGCCAGAUUUCCUCUACACCUAACUGAUGGCUGCAAGUAUAGCUCCACAAUGUGGAGAAAUCUAGGCCAGUGUUUCACAACAUUUUUUAUUUUAAUUUUUUUGUCUUAUAGCUCCACAAGCCUAUCAGUAAUGCUCAAAUGAGAUAAAAUGACACUAUACCAUCAAUUCCUUUUUUUUUUUACAAUUUGUUCUCAAUCAUAAUGUCAUGUGCCAGAACAGCGUUAUUGCUGCAUCUAUUUGAAAACUACAGUGCCAGUUUUCAUUAUGAAGCACAAGACAGGCAAUUUAAUUAAAUGUAAAUUGAUUUUAGCUGUGGGAGCCUGUGUUUCAUUUGUGUUUACUAGUAAAAUAUAGGGCCACUGGUGUUGUCAUAAUAUCAUGCAGUUUGUGCACCAUAAAGCACAUUAGUGUAAUGAGCAAGCCUUCGUUGCGCAUGGAGAACUCAUUAAAGCCUGCUGACUGCCUUCACCGUAAUGUGUGCUGCCAAUGGAGUGCCUAGAUAUGUCCUAAUGCAUUUGGAGAACUCAGAGACAACUAAUGCAUAUGGAAACACGUCUUCUCAAUUUGUUUGAUAUCCUGCAACUUUCUAGCUUUAAAUAUUAGAUAAAUAUAUGUGAUAAAGUCUGCCUCAAUACAAAUGUGAGGUUUUCAUGAACAUAACAAAACCUAUUGAAAUUAUUUUGUUAAUAAUUCACAUAGAUUCAUUAUUAUGUAUGAAAAGAAAAGGGGGAAAAAAACUGUAAAAAUGCAAUAUAUUAUGAUAAUAUGUGUACAUGUAUAAUACAGUUCCAUGAGACCAGAAGCCGUGACAGAAACAUGCCAAGUUUGUAUCUCUUUGUUUGUACAAAGGGAGUUUCCAUGCAUGGAAUGAAGAGUGGAAAUAAUUUCAGGAGAGUAGGGAGUGUGUCUAUCUGUUAUUUUGGUCGCUUGGUGUUCAUCAUUUUAUAAAUAAUACAUUCAUGUUUUCCAUUUGCAAUCAACUUUUUGUCCCAACCCAGAGAAGUUUCCAACAAUAAUAGCUACUUUGGUGCACUACAGAAGUUACUCUAUUAUAUAAUGUCAUUUUUUAAGCAUACGUUUAGGUAUUUUAGUUUCUUAAGAGACAGAUUCAAAUCAGUUUCAGAAGUGCUGGGCUGACUGGAUAUUAUGCAUAUAAUUUAGCGAGCUGUAGAGAGGCAUGUUGUUGUUAAAUUGUCUAAUGAUUGUAUGUAACCUUUGUCUGGCCUGUUGAUAAUAUGAGUGAAACAGUAUUUCCAGAAAAGGCUUUAAAUGUUCUUUCUUUCUUAGAAUUUUGUGUGCGGAUAGUAAAGUUACCAUUUAGAUGCUUUAUUGCUUUAUGGUUUUAUUAGGCUUAUUGUAUGUAAACCAUAUACAAAUGCAUAAUCCACAAUCAAGGCGUUUUUUUAAGACUUCCAUGAAAACAAGUUCUUUGCUUAGCUGCAGUUGACAGAAAGUCAGUCCACUUGAUCUGUGUCUUGGUGAUUGGUAACAAGUACAUUUUGCAUUACAUAAGUGGCUCCAAAUAUUUUGUUUUUCUGGUAUAGUAAACUUGAUCAGUAUAGCUCACCUAAAAACCUUUUUAGCGCCACUUAUUGGACAUUUAAUUUCCGAACUGCCAUAAUACUUACCACAACCAGCAUAAUACAAUGUUGCCAGAUAAACAGUCAUCUAUUUUGAAUAACACUUUUAGUGCAACUUACCAAACAUUUCAUGUUGAAUAUGUUGCAAAACAUGCAAGAAGCAAUGUACUUUAAUGUAAACAAGUCGAUGACUUCAUGAAAAUUGAGCUGCUGUUCUUAUAAUCUCUCCAAAGGAUAUUUAUGAGUGGCACAUAUAAAAACAGUAUUACUGAUCAAAUAAUUUGUAAAAUAAGAUAAUUCCCAACAGAAAUUAAAGCAGUAUUUAAUAUUUUUGUCACAUUUUUUCUCAAAUUCACAUAAAAAAAUGCACUGGUCAUAUGGAACAUUGUCAGAGAGGUUGCUUGUACUGUGUUUUCCCCUCCCUAGCAAGUCACUUUAAUGCAUCUAAUGGAUGCUAACAUGUCAAGUCUGUGCCUGAAAAAGUUAUUAAUGUGCAUGAAGGAACUGCAUGGUGAGUGUUUCCGUAUCUAAUCUAUUUAUGUAAAAGCACGUUUUUUGGAUCUCAAGCUGUAUUUUUAAGCUUUUGUCUCCUAUCAGACUUGAACCCACAGUGGUUGAACAGCUUGAGUGAAGUGCAACCUGAAGUUUCUUCAGAGAGGCCCUCAAAACACACAUCUGGCUCACAAGGAACUUCUCUGUGGUCACCGUCAAUGAUUUCACAGUUGAGAGCGAAAUGUCAGGAAACCCACACACAUCUCAGAGGCUGGAACCCCCACAUGAUUCUUCGUACCUGACUCAUAUCCUGUUGAAAGAACAAACUGUACAAAAUCUUGCAUUAUCAAACUCCCCAUAUGUGUCCUUUAUAAUAUUUAUACUUUAAUAAGAAAAUUCUUAAUAUUAUAAUUAAUAUUUAUUUUUGUAAUUUUGCUAUGUCCUUUUGAUCGUUUGUUUUAAAUAUUAAUGCAUAUAUUUAAUUCGUUUUUUAUUUCAGUUUUGUUUUAUUUCAGCGAAUAUUUUAUUUUGUUUCAACUUCAAUUUCUAGUUGGUUUAGUUUUAGUGAUAAUGACCCUGCUUAAUAGGCCUAUGUUGGAUUCUGACAAGCCAGUAUCUAUUCAUCUUGAUUCUCUCAGUUGUCUAAACACACACAUGUAUGCUAAACCAUAAGACCAUUCAGAGAAAGCAGGUCUUCAUGACUUAACAGCUGCUGGAAUAUGUUUGCUAUGGUAACCAAACACAGCAGUGUGUCAUCAGGCCCAUGUACAACAGCUCUCAGUGUGAGUGUGGCGAGCGUCGGCCUCCACCCUAUAACUGCACCUAGCAUGAGUCAGAAUUUCACACUCUUCUUCCUCAAAACUCUGAGCAGAACACUGUAUUAGUAAGUACUGUAACCACAGCCGCCAUUCUGCUGUUCAAAGUCAUGAAACUAGAAGUUGUUCAGCAGAUGGAUCUCAAAGAGACUAAUAACUUUCCUUCAAAAAUCAAUUUGUGAGGCAUAUCUGCUGCAGUAAUAUAUUAUGAAAUUAUCACACUUGCCAGCGAUUCAUCAAAGACAAAAAGCUAGUCCGUAAAAACUUCAGCUGUUGAGUUAAGCAAGCUGUUAAGCAUGUUAUGUCAGCUUGCAAUGAAAUAGUCCUAGGCCUGUCUUCAUGACGAGUCUUUAAAUUCUUUCAGAUGAUAAUUCAGCAUAAAAAAAAAAAUAAAAAAAAUACUGUGUAUGUUAUGAGAUGUUGUACUGUAUCAGUAUCACCUAUAUGGUUUCUUUGAUAUAUAUAAAAAAUAUCCUUGUUUAUUUAUUUCAUAGCAGUAUUGGGUUGUUGUUGAUUUCUGUACAGCAUUAAACAUUUUGUAAAUAAAACCCAUAAGAAAAAGUG
Long non-coding RNA from Carassius gibelio (silver crucian carp), 3672 nucleotides. RefSeq lists it as uncharacterized. The transcript has 2 exons. NCBI's taxonomy places the organism in Eukaryota, Metazoa, Chordata, Actinopteri, Cypriniformes, Cyprinidae. The record is from RefSeq and is a predicted model, not a curated record.